GUCUAUGGCCAUGCCAUCCAUAACGUGCCCAAUCUCAUUUGACCUCAGAAGCUAAGCAGGGUCGGGACUGUUUAGUACUUGGAUGGGAGACCACCUAGGAAGACCAGGUGAUGCAGACA
RNAcentral lists this ribosomal RNA (119 nucleotides) under Pteropus alecto (black flying fox). The record is from RNAcentral. Lineage: Eukaryota; Metazoa; Chordata; Mammalia; Chiroptera; Pteropodidae.